Molecule: non-coding RNA, 713 nt
Organism: Neogale vison (American mink)
Lineage: Eukaryota; Metazoa; Chordata; Mammalia; Carnivora; Mustelidae
Source: the annotation of a RefSeq genome assembly
CUGACUCUGCAGCUGGGAGAGGAGCCCAGCACCAGGAUUCCCAAGUGUUCCAGUCAGUACUCAGGACAGGACACAGAGAACUCACCAUGGAAUUUGUGCUUGUCUGGGUUUUCCUUGUUGCUCUUUUAAAAGGUGUCCAGUGUGAGGUGCAGCUGGUGGAGUCUGGGGGAGACCUGGUGAAGCCUGGGGGGUCCCUGAGACUUUCCUGUGCAGCCUCUGGAUUCACCUUCAGUAACUACGGCAUGAGCUGGGUCCGCCAGGCUCCAGGGAAGGGGCUGCAGUGGGUCGCAUAUAUUAGCUAUGAUGGAAGUUACACAAGCUACGCAGACUCUGUGAAGGGCCGAUUCACCAUCUCCAGAGACAAUGGCAAGAACACGCUGUAUCUGCAGAUGAACAGCCUGAGAGUCGAGGACACGGCCCUGUAUUACUGUGCGAGAGACACAGUGAGGGGCCCUCAGUGUGAGCCCAGACACAAACCUCAAACUGCAAGGGUAUCAUCGGAUAAAUACGGGACGGGAUCUGGACCACCAGAGGGUGCACACCACUCACCAAUCCUGUCUUUAAGCCCAGGAGCAGAUGCAGAUGAGGGUUAUGGCAAAGGUGGUCCUAAGACAAAAAUACACAGCAUACAGGAAGACCUCAAGAAGCAAGAAAAAUCUGAAAGAAACACUCCAACGUUACACCUGAAGGAGCUAGAGAAGGUUGAUGACUAA